GAUGAACGCUGGCGGCGUGCUUAACACAUGCAAGUCGAACGAUGAAGCCCAGCUUGCUGGGUGGAUUAGUGGCGAACGGGUGAGUAACACGUGAGUAACCUGCCCUUAACUCUGGGAUAAGCCUGGGAAACUGGGUCUAAUACCGGAUAGGAGCGUCCACCGCAUGGUGGGUGUUGGAAAGAUUUAUCGGUUUUGGAUGGACUCGAGGCCUAUCAGCUUGUUGGUGAGGUAAUGGCUCACCAAGGCGACGACGGGUAGCCGGCCUGAGAGGGUGACCGGCCACACUGGGACUGAGACACGGCCCAGACUCCUACGGGAGGCAGCAGUGGGGAAUAUUGCACAAUGGGCGCAAGCCUGAUGCAGCGACGCCGCGUGAGGGAUGACGGCCUUCGGGUUGUAAACCUCUUUCAGUAGGGAAGAAGCGAAAGUGACGGUACCUGCAGAAGAAGCACCGGCUAACUACGUG
Molecule: ribosomal RNA, 466 nt
Filed under: uncultured bacterium
Lineage: Bacteria
Description: partial 16S ribosomal RNA
Rfam family: Bacterial small subunit ribosomal RNA
Source: RNAcentral